RNAcentral lists this long non-coding RNA (801 nucleotides) under Sorghum bicolor (sorghum). Its description in RNAcentral is "long non-coding RNA (SBIC_LNC008964)". The record is from RNAcentral. Lineage: Eukaryota; Viridiplantae; Streptophyta; Magnoliopsida; Poales; Poaceae.
AGCAUUAAUACCAAACAAUAAUUAAAUGCCAAAGGUCAUUAAGGUUAAUAAACCUCAGGUCAUCACAUAAUCCCAAAAGCACUCAAAUCCUAAUUUGAAAAUUAAGCUAAUUAUUAUCUAAUUAUUUUUAAAGUUAUUACUUAAUUACUAAUUAAGGUUAUAUUAAUAUUUUAUUGAAACAUUAUCCAAAUGCCACCAAAUUUUUUGUGAAGCCAGGAAAUAAUAUUUAGAGACAUCUCACAAAUUUUGGUGAUUUUUGGACAUAUUAAUAAAUUCCUAAAAAUCAUGGAAUUUCUGUUUACUAAGUAAAGGAUACAAAUUUUAUACAUGUUCAAAUCAACAGAAAAUGGAAUUAAGAUUUUUCCUAUAUUCUACUCACUGCAUAGAACAUACCCAAAUAUUUCCACUAAUUUUGGAUCAGCACAUAAUUUUGUACACAAAUUCAAACAUCAAUCACUUUUAAUAUAAAAAGAAAAAAAAGAAAUCACACUAUGCGGGCGCGGCCGGCCCGCUUAACCUCGGCCCAGGCCGACCCACACGAUUCCCACGUCAUUCGCGGGCUCCCCCUUUCACCCACGAUCACUGACGGGUGGGUUCCGCCCGUCAGUUCCGUCCUCUACCUCGCGCCGCGGCUCCGGCAACCGCCCGGCCGCCGAUGAGGCCUCCCCGGCGAUAACUGACUUCUCCAGCAGGUUCGCCUUGACCCCGUGAGUGGUCUAGCGUGCUCAAGGUGGUCACAGAGGGUCCCCAAGCUACCCGGCGACGGCUCCGGCGACCGGAAACACCUCGGCGCCAAACCCC